GGGGGUGUAGCCCAGCGACAGAGUGUUUGUCUAGCAAAUAGAAGGUUCUCGGUUGAAUCCCUAGUACACAUA
This 72-nucleotide transfer RNA is filed under the name Mus musculus (house mouse). Its description in RNAcentral is "tRNA-Ala". The record is from RNAcentral. Lineage: Eukaryota; Metazoa; Chordata; Mammalia; Rodentia; Muridae.